CAGGAAUCGGGGUUCCUUCCUGACGCACGCGGAACUGCGAUGCGUUAGUCCAGCUUCCCCACGAAGCAGAAGCCAGGGCUGGGUUGAAGCAGAGGGGACUGGGCUAGGGAGCAUUCCUGGGAGAGGGGCUGGGGUGCCGCUGCAAGCAGGGUUAGAGUGCGGCCAGGGAAGGCUGUUGGGGUGUCCUGGAGAAUCGGUGCAGCUCACACGAGUCCCGAGUCCCCCAGGAGAGAAAGGGCCGACAUUGCUAUCCCUGCUGUGCUUAGCUCUAGCUGGCGGCAGCCCACGGCCCGGACACGGAGUGGAGAUGGGGUUCAGGGGAAGCAGCGAGGGCUUUGGCCCGUGAUGCUCCCUGUGGUUAGAGGCCUGCGGGGAGCCCUGUCAUGACCUACGCAUAGAGGUACAGGGGAGCAGAAGCUCGCUUGCCUGGAAGUCAGAGUAAGAGGAUGACGGAGGAGACAGACAGAGAAAGGCCUGGGCCACGAGCGUGACGGCAACCGGAAGUCAGUUAGAGACAGAAAGACAGACGGAGAGACAAAAAUGAAGGCCGCAGAGAAGACAUCUUUCUAGUCUCCAGCCCAGCAUUCCUUUCAAGAGAGUGCUGGGUUUCUUUGAGAUCCCCCGCUAUACCCUGACCACAGGCUUGUCUUCCCCAGAGCUAUGCAAAAGGCACUCCGGUCCUCUCCAUAGUACUAGGCCUCUCUGCAUCCGUACCAAUUCUCAACGCCUGAGAGCCGACCAGACAUCCCAAGAAGAGGAGGCUUUUCUUACAUCCUCCUCCAUUGCUCUGCUCCCCCAGGGGCCUUCCCUGAGUAGUCUCCACCCCGGCCUGGUUUCCUUCCCUCUCUGGCAGGUGACCUCACAGUGGCGGCUGCUGGCUUGUUCUCUGGAUGCCUCAUGGGUGUCUGUCUCAUUUUCUUAAUAAGCAGACAGAAGAGGUUCUUGGGCCGCCUCAGAUCCCUGGCUUUCCCCUUUCCUGGCUGUGUGACCUUGGACAGUUACCCAACCUGUCUGAACAUCUGCUGGAAGCGCCUCGCUGGAGAGAUGGAACGCUAACCUACCUGAACGGCCAGUGUGGUCACAGAGCUGUUGAGGGAAGAGCUUGUACUGGGCCUCAAAUUCCUGAGAUCUCCUCUCCACUGCAGGGCUGUCCUCCAGCCCCCAGGUGCCCACGGUGGCAGAAGGUACAGAAAGUCCAUCUAUGAAGGGAAGCCAUUCUGAGAUUCCUUUGUAACCAGCAGUGCUCUUCCCGCUGUGUCUCUCUGCUCUUUGUUCUUUGCAAAACCCUCACUUUGGUUCAGCUGGAGCUCUCGGGACCCCAAACCUACCUUUCAACUCAGAAGAGAAUGUGACAACCUAAGAGAACUCUUCCCUUCCGGAGCUUCUACUCCAUGUCCUUUGUAAUCCAGUCCCCAUCUGACCCACUGAAUAAUGGUUAGAUUUUCACUCAUUGGUUCUCAACCUUGAUUGAAUAUUAGAAUCACUGGGGCUGGUGAUAGAGCUCAGCGGUACAAGUGCCUACCUGGCAAGUGCAGGGUCCUCGGUUUGAUUCCUGGUACCAAAAAGAAUAGAAUCACUGGGAGCUUUUAAAAGUGUUUUAUCCAGACCCAACUCCAACCAAUGAAAUGAGAAUCUGGUGGGAAGGAAGGGUAGGAGGUGAGGAUGAUGAUCAGAAUUUUAUUUUAGAAGUCCUUAGGUGAUUCUAACAUUCUCCCCAGGUUUAGGACCUGUGAUCUAGUUGUAACCAGGUCCCUCUCUUGUAACAGAGGAGGAAACUGAGGCUCAUAGAGGUGCAUCACCUUCCUCAAAGCCUCAAAGUCUGGCCUUGGUUCCUUUGCCUUCAAAUUCCCAGUGCCCUUUCUGAAGAUACUCAGUAGUUACUGAAGGAAUCUAUAAAUAGAUGUGGAGUGGGUGGGGGGAGUGAGAGAGAUCUAUUUGAUACUUUCCUUACAGUCCCCACUAACCUGCCUUAGCUUAGGUAGCCAUCUUUGAACCACGUGAUUGACUUUGGCAAAGCUGAUUGGACUAGGAAAGGAAACCUCAACUAAGAUGGACCAAUGAGAUGACCAGGUUGGCUAUUUAAAAUCAGGACACUGGUGGUCUGAGCCAAUGAGCUGCAGGGAACUGAGCAGGAGGUCAGUGGAGACUUAGGAAUGGUGGCAGAUAUUUGAGGUCCAGUGUGAGCUGGUGAGUAGAGAGAGGACGAGAGAGAAGCAGGAAAGUAUAACAGACUCCCGGUGUCAGUCUAGGGUGAUGCAUAAGCAAUGGAAUUUUAUUUCUUGUGGUUCUGGAAGCUGGGAAGUCCAUCAAGUUGCCAAAGCAGACUGGUGCCUGGUAAAGACUGCUCCUGCUUCCAAAAUGGCGCCUUGUAGCUGUGCCAUGAGGAAAGUGGAUGGAGGAAUGCAUGCUGUAUGCUCACAUGGUGAAAGGUGGGAAGGCAGAGGUUGUUCCCUCCAACCCUGAGCCCUUUUAUAAGGUGCCCAUCCCAUCACAAGAGCCUUCCCAAAUCAAUCACCUCCCAAGGCCACACCUCCUGUUACUGUUGAGCGAGGGCUUAGGUUUCAACAGGAAUUUUGGCAGUGACAUCAUCAGUCAAACCAUGGCACAUGGUGAGAGGUAGAGACCAGGGGCCUGGCAGGUCUGGGUUCCCCUGGGAUAUGCACCCUCCCACUGUCCCUCACCAAGGAGGUCCCUGACACUCUCAGGGCCCUGCCCAGUCCAGCCACAGGGAACACGCAAAAGCCUGUCAGUGCCGAAGACCUCGAUGUCCCCCUCCAGUUUGCCUCCAACCCUGUACGGCGUCCCACCGAGUGACCGAGGCCCCUGUCAUGGAAAGUGCUAGGGCAAAGGGUGGGUGCUCACCUACUGGAUUUUUCUGGCAAGUUGGCGUCAAAGGUCCGGCUCAGCCACGUGACCUUGAAUUUCCACAGUGGGCGGAAGCGGGUAUUUUAAGAUUGUUGUUUUCUCUUUCUUGGCACUCAAUGCCCCAUGCCUGACGCUUGGUCUCUGGCAAGGAAACCUGUACCCCUUGGGAAGGAGUGGGGCUGCACAGCAAACAAAGAGCACGAGCGAAUUCUCUCUGCCCCCUCCCCAGUUCGGCUGGCGGUGGGGGACGGGCAGGGGCCUGGGAACAAUGGGAGCCGUGAGUCACGGGGGAAGGCAGGAUACCAUCCCAAAAGGGCUCCUCUAGCCAGGUCCGGAGGGCCUGACGUAGGUAGCUGGCAAACAGUGACACCUGGAGUGACCCCUGCUUCUGCGCAGUCACUUGCCUUGACCUGGGUUUUCUUUUUAAUCUUUUAAUUCAACUUUUAUUUUUAGUGAGGUUAUAUAUAUGUAUAUGUAUUUCCCAGAAGUGAAGUAAUGAUACAUAGACUGCAAUGGAAAACAGUGGCUGUGGGGCCUGCCCUUCUCCAAUACCAAUCCCUAGCGGCGAUUUCUUUUGAAUUCCAAGUUAUUUCUUCCUGUUUUUCCUUCACUUUCUAAAAUAACCUCUAGGGGCUCGGGAUUUAGCUCAGCGGCACGGCACCUGCCUGGCAAGUGCAAGGUCGCGAGUUCAAUUCCUGGUACCAGAAGAAAACAAAAUUUUUAAAUAAAAUAAAAUAAAAUAACCUCUAGCUCUCUUGUUAUUUUAAGGCUGAGGGUGUGGCUCAGCUGUAGAACGCUUGCCUAGCAUGCAUGAGACCCCGGGUUCCAACCCUAGAGCCCCAGAAAUAAAAC
Chinchilla lanigera (long-tailed chinchilla) is the source of this 3717-nucleotide long non-coding RNA. The record is from Ensembl. Lineage: Eukaryota; Metazoa; Chordata; Mammalia; Rodentia; Chinchillidae.